This 253-nucleotide ribosomal RNA is filed under the name uncultured bacterium. Its description in RNAcentral is "partial 16S ribosomal RNA". It matches the Rfam family "Bacterial small subunit ribosomal RNA", at positions 524 to 776 of the family's 1533-position model. The record is from RNAcentral.
UACGGAGGGUGCGAGCGUUGUUCGGAAUUACUGGGCGUAAAGCGCGCGCAGGCGGUUUUCCACGUCUGUGGUGAAAGCCCGGAGCUCAACUCCGGAAAUGCCAUUGAAACUGUAAAACUUGAGUACGAGAGAGGUGAGUGGAAUUCCCAGUGUAGAGGUGAAAUUCGUAGAUAUUGGGAAGAACACCGGUGGCGAAGGCGGCUCACUGGCUCGUAACUGACGCUCAGGCGCGAUAGCGUGGGGAUCAAACAGG